This is a non-coding RNA of Carica papaya (papaya), 76 nucleotides long. The record is from the annotation of a RefSeq genome assembly. NCBI's taxonomy places the organism in Eukaryota, Viridiplantae, Streptophyta, Magnoliopsida, Brassicales, Caricaceae.
GCUUUCGUAGCUCAGUUGGGUUAGAGCACCCGUUUAGUAAGCGGGAAGGUCUUGAGUUCGACUCUCAACGAAAGCA